GACGUAGGGCGCGAGCGUUGUCCGGAUUUAUUGGGCGUAAAGAGCUCGUAGGUGGUUUGUCGCGUUGUCCGUGAAAACUCACAACUCAAUUGUGGGCGUGCGGGCGAUACGGGCAGACUGGAGUACUGCAGGGGAGACUGGAAUUCCUGGUGUAGCGGUGGAAUGCGCAGAUAUCAGGAGGAACACCGGUGGCGAAGGCGGGUCUCUGGGCAGUAACUGACGCUGAGGAGCGAAAGCGUGGGGAGCAAACAGG
Molecule: ribosomal RNA, 253 nt
Filed under: uncultured bacterium
Lineage: Bacteria
Description: partial 16S ribosomal RNA
Rfam family: Bacterial small subunit ribosomal RNA
Source: RNAcentral